This 497-nucleotide ribosomal RNA is filed under the name uncultured bacterium. RNAcentral's name for it is "partial 16S ribosomal RNA". It matches the Rfam family "Bacterial small subunit ribosomal RNA", at positions 28 to 507 of the family's 1533-position model. The record is from RNAcentral.
GACGAACGCUGGCGGCGUGCCUAAUACAUGCAAGUUGAGCGAUGAAGAUUGGUGCUUGCGCCAAUUUGAAGAGCAGCGAACGGGUGAGUAACGCGUGGGGAAUCUGCCUUUGAGCGGGGGACAACAUUUGGAAACGAAUGCUAAUACCGCAUAACAACUUUAAACAUAAGUUUUAAGUUUGAAAGAUGCAAUUGCAUCACUCAAAGAUGAUCCCGCGUUGUAUUAGCUAGUUGGUGAGGUAAAGGCUCACCAAGGCGAAGAUACAUAGCCGACCUGAGAGGGUGAUUCGGCACAUUGGGACUGGGACACGGCCCAAACCCCUUCGGGGAGGAGCAGGAGGGAAACUUUGGACAGGGACGGAAGUCUGACCGAGCAACGCCGCGGGAGUGAAGAAGGGUUUCGGAUCGUAAAACUCUGUUGGUAGAGAAGAACGUUGGUGAGAGUGGAAAGCUCAUCAAGUGACGGUAACUACACAGAAAGGGACGGCUAACUACGUG